GCUGACGUAGCUCAACGGUAGAGCGUCACCAUUGCCCCGUUUCAACCAAUGUGAAGAUAGCAGUUCAAAUCUGUUCGUUAGCU
Molecule: transfer RNA, 83 nt
Filed under: Limosilactobacillus reuteri
Lineage: Bacteria; Bacillati; Bacillota; Bacilli; Lactobacillales; Lactobacillaceae
Description: tRNA-OTHER
Rfam family: tRNA
About the family: Transfer RNA (tRNA) molecules are approximately 80 nucleotides in length. Their secondary structure includes four short double-helical elements and three loops (D, anti-codon, and T loops).
Source: RNAcentral